This is a long non-coding RNA of Sapajus apella (tufted capuchin), 221 nucleotides long. RefSeq lists it as uncharacterized. NCBI's taxonomy places the organism in Eukaryota, Metazoa, Chordata, Mammalia, Primates, Cebidae. The record is from RefSeq and is a predicted model, not a curated record. The transcript has 2 exons.
CUCUCACUUUUAUUGAGUUGCAAAUCUGGGGGCAGGGUAGAUAGGGCGUGGCAGUGAUAGGGUCAAGUACAUCACGUGUCAUUCAGGUAGGGGCUCAGGAAUUUCGCACCUGAAGUAAGGUAAGGUGCAUAAUGCAUCAGCACUUUUUCCACACUUAUCAAGAAAGAACUAAAACAUUAAGAUUUAUAUUACUAUUACUGAAUAUCUUUUCUAAGUAAAAA